RNAcentral lists this ribosomal RNA (639 nucleotides) under soil fungal sp. DM2-091. RNAcentral describes it as "eukaryotic LSU rRNA". It matches the Rfam family "Eukaryotic large subunit ribosomal RNA", at positions 143 to 797 of the family's 3401-position model. The record is from RNAcentral. Lineage: Eukaryota; Fungi.
UUGUAAUUUGCAGAGGAUGCUUCGGGUGCAGCCCCCGUCUAAGUGCCCUGGAACGGGCCGUCAUAGAGGGUGAGAAUCCCGUAUGGGGCGGGGUGUCUGCGUCCGUGUGAAGCUCCUUCGACGAGUCGAGUUGUUUGGGAAUGCAGCUCUAAAUGGGUGGUAAAUUUCAUCUAAAGCUAAAUACUGGCCGGAGACCGAUAGCGCACAAGUAGAGUGAUCGAAAGAUGAAAAGCACUUUGAAAAGAGAGUUAAACAGCACGUGAAAUUGUUGAAAGGGAAGCGCUUGCAACCAGACUCGCUCGCGGGGUUCAGCUGGGCUUCGGCCCGGUGUACUUCCCCGCGGGCGGGCCAGCGUCGGUUUGGGCGGCCGGUCAAAGGCCUCCGGAAUGUAGCGCCCUUCGGGGCGCCUUAUAGCCGGGGGUGCAAUGCGGCCAGCCUGGACCGAGGAACGCGCUUCGGCACGGACGCUGGCAUAAUGGUUGUAAACGACCCGUCUUGAAACACGGACCANGGAGUCUAACAUCUACGCGAGUGUUCGGGUGUCAAACCCGUACGCGCAGUGAAAGCGAACGGAGGUGGGAGCCCCCUCGUGGGGNGCACCAUCGACCGAUCCUGAUGUCUUCGGAUGGAUUUGAGUAC